RNAcentral lists this ribosomal RNA (253 nucleotides) under uncultured bacterium. RNAcentral's name for it is "partial 16S ribosomal RNA". It matches the Rfam family "Bacterial small subunit ribosomal RNA", at positions 524 to 776 of the family's 1533-position model. The record is from RNAcentral.
UACGUAGGGUGCAAGCGUUGUCCGGAAUUAUUGGGCGUAAAGAGCUCGUAGGCGGUUUGUCGCGUCGGCUGUGAAAACCCGGGGCUCAACCCCGGGCCUGCAGUCGAUACGGGCAAACUAGAGUGUGGUAGAGGAGACUGGAAUUCCUGGUGUAGCGGUGAAAUGCGCAGAUAUCAGGAGGAACACCGGUGGCGAAGGCGGGUCUCUGGGCCAUAACUGACGCUGAGGAGCGAAAGCGUGGGGAGCGAACAGG